Molecule: ribosomal RNA, 468 nt
Filed under: uncultured bacterium
Lineage: Bacteria
Description: partial 16S ribosomal RNA
Rfam family: Bacterial small subunit ribosomal RNA
Source: RNAcentral
GACGAACGCUGGCGGCGUGCCUAACACAUGCAAGUCGAACGGAAAGGCCCUGCUUUUGUGCGGUGCUCGAGUGGCGAACGGGUGAGAAACACGUGAGUAACCUGCCCUUGACUUUGGGAUAACUUCAGGAAACCGGGGCUAAUAUAGGAUAGGAGCUCCUGCUGCAUGGGGGGGGAUGGAGAGUGUCGGCGGUUGUGGAUGGAUGCGGGGCUUAUGAGCUUGUUGGUGGGGUAGUGGCUUACCAAGGUUUUGACGGGUAGGCGGCCUGGGCGGGUGGCCAGGCACAAGGCGCCUGAGAUAGGGACCAGAGUCCAACGGGGGGCAGAGGUGGGGAACCUGACACAACGGGGGGAAGCCUGGGGCGGAGACGCCGGGUGCGGGAAGCCGGCCUUUGGGUUAUAAACAGCUUUCGCCUGAGACGGAGCGGGCGUGACGGUAAUGGGUGAAGAAGCACCGGCUAACUACGUG